Molecule: ribosomal RNA, 223 nt
Filed under: uncultured bacterium
Lineage: Bacteria
Description: partial 16S ribosomal RNA
Rfam family: Bacterial small subunit ribosomal RNA
Source: RNAcentral
UGGGUAACCUGCCCAUCAGAGGGGGAUAACAUUCGGAAACGGAUGCUAAAACCGCAUAGGUCUUCGAACCGCAUGGUUUGAAGAGGAAAAGAGGCGCAAGCUUCUGCUGAUGGAUGGACCCGCGGUGCAUUAGCUAGUUGGUGAGGUAACGGCUCACCAAGGCCGUGAUGCAUAGCCGACCUGAGAGGGUGAUCGGCCACAUUGGGACUGAGACACGGCCCAA